Molecule: ribosomal RNA, 847 nt
Filed under: Salmonella enterica subsp. enterica serovar Heidelberg
Lineage: Bacteria; Pseudomonadati; Pseudomonadota; Gammaproteobacteria; Enterobacterales; Enterobacteriaceae
Description: partial 23S ribosomal RNA
Rfam family: Bacterial large subunit ribosomal RNA
Source: RNAcentral
AGACCCGAAACCCGGUGAUCUAGCCAUGGGCAGGUUGAAGGUUGGGUAACACUAACUGGAGGACCGAACCGACUAAUGUUGAAAAAUUAGCGGAUGACCUGUGGCUGGGGGUGAAAGGCCAAUCAAACCGGGAGAUAGCUGGUUCUCCCCGAAAGCUAUUUAGGUAGCGCCUCGUGAAUUCAUCUCCGGGGGUAGAGCACUGUUUCGGCUAGGGGGCCAUCCCGGCUUACCAACCCGAUGCAAACUGCGAAUACCGGAGAAUGUUAUCACGGGAGACACACGGCGGGUGCUAACGUCCGUCGUGAAGAGGGAAACAACCCAGACCGCCAGCUAAGGUCCCAAAGUCAUGGUUAAGUGGGAAACGAUGUGGGAAGGCCCAGACAGCCAGGAUGUUGGCUUAGAAGCAGCCAUCAUUUAAAGAAAGCGUAAUAGCUCACUGGUCGAGUCGGCCUGCGCGGAAGAUGUAACGGGGCUAAACCAUGCACCGAAGCUGCGGCAGCGACGCUGAUGCGUUGUUGGGUAGGGGAGCGUUCUGUAAGCCUGCGAAGGUGACCUGUGAGGGUUGCUGGAGGUAUCAGAAGUGCGAAUGCUGACAUAAGUAACGAUAAAGCGGGUGAAAAGCCCGCUCGCCGGAAGACCAAGGGUUCCUGUCCAACGUUAAUCGGGGCAGGGUGAGUCGACCCCUAAGGCGAGGCCGAAAGGCGUAGUCGAUGGGAAACGGGUUAAUAUUCCCGUACUUGGUGUUACUGCGAAGGGGGGACGGAGAAGGCUAUGUUGGCCGGGCGACGGUUGUCCCGGUUUAAGCGUGUAGGUGUGUGUUCCAGGUAAAUCCGGUUCACUUUAACAC